CAACUUCUCCACUCGCCUCCAGGAAUGGGUGUUGUAAAAGUCAAGUCAGCAUGUAUGAGAACACCAAUCUAUAAGAGUGUUCAACAAAGGAAGGCAUUGUUAUUUUACUAUCAUUAUUUUUACUACUUUAUGUUAUUUUGGAAAGAGCCAAGUCACCGAGGUGUCUUCUAUUAAAUCAAUUAGCCUGGAAGGAGAACUAAGCAAGAUGAGAAACUGAACGUAUCUGUGACUCUGCAAGCAGUCCCUGACGCUGUGGUGGGAUCCAGGCCUGGACGCUGUGGAUAAGGAAACCAGCAACAUGGGGACAGAUAAAAGUAAGAAGCAGGUUACCUUCGCUCUCUGGUUUUGGAACCACACCUGGACGACACGGACACUCAGCCCUGUCUCUGCAGCCAGAGUCUCUCUCACCUUGGAAAAAUUGAACGAGAAAUGUAGACACACUGGCAUCUCAGGGUAGGAGGUAGAACAUCUCCUAUAUAAUACUUGAGGAGGCCAAAAGACUGUAUCUGCUUUAGGAGCUGAAUAGUUUUUAAUGUUGAGCAUACACACAAACACGAGAACAUUGCUUCCCUUCAGGUAGAAAGAAAGUCCUUCACCAGGUAACUUUGGGUGUUUCAUGAAUAUCCAUAGUGACUGCUACCCCAAGUGAGCCCUGCCCAAAGAGAAUAAAAUGAGAGCCAUCUGGAACCCGGCAGAGCCAGGAAGUGUGGCCACAGGACUACAUUCUGGCCAACACAUAUGAGGAGAAAUGAUUUGAGCAACCCCUGGAUACAUCCUUAAAAAGCAGGGCGCUUGCCCUCCAUUUCCUCUUUCUCUACCUGGUGACUGGAAACAUGGUGACAACUGGAGCAGUCGCUUGGACACAGGAGAUGGAUAACAGAGCCACCCACCAGCCUUGCCUUGCUCACCUCUGGACUGUGACAGAAGAGAAUAAACUCCUGUCUCAUUAAA
Molecule: long non-coding RNA, 951 nt
Filed under: Homo sapiens (human)
Lineage: Eukaryota; Metazoa; Chordata; Mammalia; Primates; Hominidae
Description: HSALNT0296284
Source: RNAcentral